UAUCCUCAAGAGGGGGACAACAUUGGGAAACCGAUGCUAAUACCCCAUAAGCCGGGAGGUAAAAGGAGCAAUCCGCUUGAGGAGCGGCUCAUGUCCUAUCAGCUAGUUGGUGAGGUAACGGCUCACCAAGGCGAAGACGGGUAGCCGGCCUGAGAGGGUGAACGGCCACACUGGAACUGAGAGACGGUCCAGACUCCUACGGGAGGCAGCAGUGGGGAAUAUUGGGCAAUGGGGGAAACCCUGACCCAGCGACGCCGCGUGAGGGAAGAAGGCCUUAGGGUCGUAAACCUCUGUUGUGUGGGAAGAAGAGUGUGACGGUACCACACGAGGAAGUCCCGGCUAACUACGUGCCAGCAGCCGCGGUAAUACGUAGGGGACGAGCGUUGUCCGGAUUUACUGGGCGUAAAGGGCGCGUAGGCGGUCAUUUAAGUCAGCUGUGAAAUGGUUUGGCUUAACCGGAUCAUGCGGUUGAAACUGGAUGACUGGAGUGCUGGAGAGGCAAGUGGAAUUCCCAGUGUAGCGGUGAAAUGCGUAGAUAUUGGGAAGAACACCGGUGGCGAAGGCGACUUGCUGGCCAGCAACUGACGCUGAGGCGCGAAAGCCAGGGGAGCAAACGGGAUUAGAUACCCCGGUAGUCCUGGCCGUAAACGAUGAAUGCUAGGUGUGGGCAUCGAGAGGUGUCCGUGCCGGAGCUAACGCGAUAAGCAUUCCGCCUGGGGAGUACGAUCGCAAGAUUGAAACUCAAAGGGAAUUGACGGGGGCCCGCACAAGCGGUGGAGCACGUGGUUUAAUUCGAUGCAAACCGAAGAACCUUACCUGGGUUUGACAUGUACGUAAGUAGGGAGCUGAAAGGCGACUGACGAAAGGAUUCGUCCCGGAGAGCGUACACAGGUGCUGCAUGGCUGUCGUCAGCUCGUGUCG
This 921-nucleotide ribosomal RNA is filed under the name uncultured bacterium. Its description in RNAcentral is "bacterial SSU rRNA". It matches the Rfam family "Bacterial small subunit ribosomal RNA", at positions 127 to 1067 of the family's 1533-position model. The record is from RNAcentral.